AAUUACUAAUUAUAAUGUAUAAUUGUUAAAUCGAAAAUUGAAUAUAUCGAUACUUUUUAUGGCGCGAAAAGUGGUGGGGAUAACUGCUAAAUCAGUAGUUCUCAUCUAUGUCAUAGAUCAGCAGUCCUUUUCAAAAUUUUUCAUUAUAAAAAAUUUAUAUAAUUUACAAGCUUGUAUAUACUUACCAGAACUUCUUCAAAACGAUCGUAAUUCUCAGGCCUAGUGUUUAGAAGGCUCUCGCCAACUGAAUCCGUGGCAUUGCUCAUCUGGCAGGAACCACGUAUGCCCAAAGCGCUGGACGUAAUAUGCAGCAAGGAUAGCACUGCCAAAAGUCCGGCUGGGGAUAUAAAAACAGAAGGGAAAUGUAUAACGGGAUAUUGAAAAUUAAAAAUCAAUGAAAAUAAAUCUGGAUGUAAUUCCUGGAUCCUGGACACGAAUGAAAAUAAUCUUAAGUGAAAAAUAAUGAUUUUUAAAUCUUAUCCUCAAUAUCAUAUAAUUCUCCUCAAUACAACUUUUACGAGGUAAGUUACUGUCUAUGAGUCGGUGAGUAUCCGCAGGGAGGAGCGACAGCUUUCAGGUGCUGCAUUAGAUUUAUACAGACCCGAACUUGCUUUCGUGAAUCCUUUGGAUGGUGACGUACUCACGAACAAGUUAAAAUAUAUCUUAUCAACGACAAAAAUAGUAUUAUAUUUAUAUAUUAUUUUGAUUUGUUAAUUAGUCUUUAAAAUUUUAAAAUGCAACAAUUGUAUAUCUUAAUUUAAUAUAAUUAAUUAUAUCAAAUUAUAUGUAUCUUUAUACAAUUUGAUUUUUUUUUUAUUCACAAUAAUUAAUUUAUAAAUAAUUUGCAAAUGUAAUGUACUAUGUAAUUCAUAAUUUUUCAAACUACAAGUUUUAUCAUUUUUCUUUGAGAUUACUAAAUUCUAUCAUUUCAUAUAUUUAAAGGUAAAAUCUAUUUCAAAACCGAAGUAAAUGUUUCCACAUGAGAAAAUACAAAAUUUCUCCUAAUUUAAUUAAUUGAAAUAAUAUUCAAAUAUUCUCAAUAAUAUUCUCAAAAUAAUCAAGUUAAAUUAUAUAUUAAAAAUAAUACGUUAAAUAAUUUCAAUGAUAAAAUGAAAUAAAUAAAUAAAUAAAAGAAAUAAUAAUUCCACUAAUGCAUUAUUAAGCUAUGAAUUAGCUGACAAAAGGGUUUCUGUUGUUACUUUUAAUUAAUAAUUUUCAACUUAUAAAUGUUUAAACAACUAGUUUGCCAAGUUACCCGCAACAUAGGACAACCAUAGACUAUACGGUUUCCAUGCCAAAAUACAGGAUAAUGGUAGAUAAAACAAUGCCCUUCGCCAACCCCUUGUUAUCGCCAACACUGCCGACCAGCAACACGAACAAAGAGACUCGUCGUUCCUGAAACAAAAUAUAUACAACGUUUUAUCGAGAUUCCAAUAAACGCAAAAACGUCGACGAAAUCGUGCAAAGUAUUCUCGAACGGAGGAUCACGGAGAAAAAAGUAAGCGGUGGCAAGGAUGGAAAGCUAGACUGGUAAUUACCAGGUUCGAACUUUGUCCCAAUUUCCUCGAUCGCGAGUAAAAUACACCUCCACGUGUAAAGUGGGAAACGAAGAUGGGCAAAGAAAAUAUGCAAGAACCUGAUAUAGAUGUAUAAUAGAAGAGGUUGACGACGAUUGUGAAGCCACCAAGGAGGGUGGUCGUGCUCGAAGUGAAUACGGCGAAAGGUCGAGGUGGAAUAAAAAGGGAGAAAGGAGUUUCCGAAGGGAAAAGACGAUUUUAUUGGCGGACGAACUUCCGACGAUCUAUCUCGGCUCGACACCACUCGUUUCGGGAGUUUAUAUUCUUGUCGACGUUAUCAAAAGGAAUAAAGUCGACGAAUAAACGUCUCUCCCCUCCUCCCUCCCUUUUUUUGUACCUUUCUUAUUACGACCGAUGAAAAUCAGAUGUUUUAUACGAUGGAGGAUUUUCUUCCCUCUUGCUUGUUUGCACUUCGAUGAAAGUACUUGAAGAGAUGAAGGAAGGUAGAAUGAAAAGGAGCUCGCUUUGCUGGUUUGGAAUAAUAGUGUGUGAUUAUUUGAGGAUUUUGUAGGAAGAUUUGUUUUCAAUGAACUGAUUUUUUUCUUCUUUUUCUUCUUCUUUUUUCUUUUUGGAAUAGGAGUUUUGAACGUAGAAAUUAAAAAAGAAGAAAUUGAUUUAUGGAAGAUAUUUGUAGGCGUUUCAUUUUUUAUUUUGACCACGUUAUUGUGUUUAUCUGACUGUGACUGACGUAAACUAUUUUUCUGAAUGUAACUCUCUUAUUUUUCUUAUGAUUGUUUUAUUCUACGUGCUUGGCCAUGAUUGGUCUAUUCUAUCUGUCUGGACGUGACUAGCUUAUUCUAUUUGGUUGGGAGCAACUGGCCCAUUCUACUUGUCUGCUCUAUUCUUCGAUAGUGAUUAUUUUGUUCUAUUUGUCUGAUCACGAUCGGUCUGAUCAUUCUACACAUUUUUUCAGCAUUAAAUAUAUGUAAUAUUUAGUGAUGAUGAUAAUUUAAACGUAUAUUUCUGUAAAAAUCGUGUAAAAUUACGAACGGAAUAUUUAUAAUAAUUUAGGGAUAAGAAAUAUGUAUAGGAAAAGUAUGCUAAAUUUAUUUACCUGACACAAAUCUGUACGAACAAGGUGAUGGCCCAUGUAAUCUCGAGAAAGAAUAUCAAACCAGAUGCUGCUCUGAAAUAGAAUCACAUAAAUUUUUAUUUAACGAGUAGAAGAAAGAAUAUUGUUGCAAUUUGUAUUUAUGUUUCAAAUAGUAGUAAUAAAAUCCAUCUAUUGGUUUCUCUUCCACUGUUCCUUUUAGAAUCAAAAUUUGUAUAAAAAAAAAAAAUAUUAAAA
RNAcentral lists this long non-coding RNA (2865 nucleotides) under Apis florea (little honeybee). RNAcentral describes it as "uncharacterized LOC116415601". The record is from RNAcentral. Lineage: Eukaryota; Metazoa; Arthropoda; Insecta; Hymenoptera; Apidae.